This 1218-nucleotide ribosomal RNA is filed under the name Triticum aestivum (bread wheat). RNAcentral describes it as "partial small subunit ribosomal RNA". Lineage: Eukaryota; Viridiplantae; Streptophyta; Magnoliopsida; Poales; Poaceae. The record is from RNAcentral.
AUGGCGAUGGCGGCGGCGGCGGGCUCUUCCAGGCGCGUGCGGAUGGACGACGACGAGCUUACCUUCGAGACCUCGGCGGGGCUGGAGGUCGUGGGGAGCUUCGACGCCAUGGGCAUCCGCGAGGACCUGCUCCGCGGCAUCUACGGCUACGGCUUCGAGAAGCCCUCCGCCAUCCAGCAGCGCGCCGUCGUCCCCAUCAUCGCCGGCCGCGACGUCAUCGCCCAGGCCCAGUCCGGCACCGGCAAAACCUCCAUGGUCUCCCUCUCCGUCUGCCAGCUCGUCGACACCAACAUCCACGAGGUGCAAGCAUUGAUACUGUCACCAACUAGGGAACUGGCCACACAAACAGAGAGGGUGAUGCAAGCUGUUGGGAACCACAUGAGUGUCUCUGUGCAUGCCUGUGUCGGUGGCAAAAGUAUCGGUGAGGAUAUUAGGAAGCUUGAGGCUGGAGUGCAUGUUGUUUCAGGAACCCCAGGGAGAGUAUGUGAUAUGAUCAAGAGAAGGACGUUGCGCACAAGAGCCAUCAAGCUCCUAGUCCUGGAUGAAGCUGAUGAGAUGUUGACCAGAGGUUUUAAGGAUCAGAUUUAUGAUGUCUACAGAUACNNNNNNNNNNNNNNNNNNGUUGUCUUGAUCUCUGCAACUCUGCCCCAUGACAUCUUGGAGAUAACUAGCAAGUUCAUGACUGAUCCAGUCAGGGUCCUUGUGAAGCGUGAUGAGUUGACCCUAGAGGGCAUCAAACAAUUCUUUGUUGCUGUUGAGAAGGAGGAAUGGAAGUUUGAUACGCUGUGCGAUCUUUAUGAUACACUGACCAUCACCCAAGCUGUCAUUUUCUGCAAUACUAAGAGAAAGGUGGAUUGGCUUACUGAAAGGAUGCGCACCAACAACUUUACCGUAUCAGCUAUGCAUGGUGACAUGCCUCAAAAGGAAAGGGAUGCGAUUAUGAGUGAGUUCAGGAGUGGCACGACCGGUGUUCUGAUCACAACAGAUGUUUGGGCUCGAGGGCUGGAUGUUCAGCAGGUCUCUCUUGUCAUUAAUUAUGAUCUCCCAAAUAAUCGUGAGCUUUACAUCCAUCGCAUCGGUCGCUCUGGGCGGUUUGGGCGCAAGGGUGUGGCGAUCAACUUUGUGCGCAAGGAUGACAUCCGUAUCCUGAGGGACAUUGAGCAGUACUACAGCACGCAGAUUGACGAGAUGCCGAUGAACGUGGCCGAUCUGAUCUGA